This is a long non-coding RNA of Apis mellifera (honey bee), 1264 nucleotides long. RefSeq lists it as uncharacterized. The record is from RefSeq and is a predicted model, not a curated record. The transcript has 3 exons. NCBI's taxonomy places the organism in Eukaryota, Metazoa, Arthropoda, Insecta, Hymenoptera, Apidae.
UUUUUCGAUGUAAAAGUUAUAAGAUUAUAAGAGAUACUUUUUUUUGGGAAUUUUUAGAAAUUUUGCUUAAAAUAUUUCGAAAUAGAGAAGCCUCUGCUAUUUGCUUCGAAAUGAAUGCAAAUGAAAUCACUUUUGUUCAACUCGAGAAUUGAAAUUUUCGAAAAUCUUUAAGAACUCUCUCACCGAUACGAUUUAUUUUCUCGAAAACUUUCGAAAAAACUUUUACUUGGAAAUUCUUCGAAACGAUUUUUUAGAUCGAUUUAUCCCGCUCGUUCGAGAGGUUAGAACGCGACUGGGUGGAAAGUGGAAUCAUCAACGAACGAGAGGAUAGGGAACUCGAAUCAGCGUGGCCCUAACGCUGGGAAGAGGAAGAGGGUACAGAUGCGACAGAGGAAAAACAAAGAUGGAGGGGCUAAGUUUAGAGGAUCGCGAGAGAGGACGAAGUGGCGAAGGAGUACGCGGCAUCGAGAACACAAUGCACCUUGCCCUCUUCCUCUUGGACGAAGGGGAGGGAGGAGGGGAGAGGCGCAGGAAGAGAGAAUGAUUUUAGAUUCAGUGCCAGAAAAAUCGUUGGCCAAUCGCGAGGGACGAAUCGAGAUCGCCAUCUCUCGGCCAACUGGGGCCAUCGAGGGAUUUUAAUAGAUCCUUUCUCGGGUUCGGAGAUCGAGACCGAUGAUCGCUCGAGUGUCAUCGAUGGUGGUGAUCUUGGAUUGGAGAGAACUUUCGAAUUUUAUUCAGAGAUCGUUGGAAAUUGAAUUUUUCAAAAUUUAGUUAUUUUUGAUCGCUCGAGUGUCAUCGUUGGUGGUGAUCUUGGAUUGAAUAUUAAUCCUUGACACGCCAUUCGGAACAAAUCAACGAAAUUGAGGUUAAAUCAUCGUCGAGAUUAUGCGCGGGGAAGACACAAAGAUUUCGUCGAAGAAGUUCGCGACUGCAUCGCCAUUCGAAGUUAGGAAGUUUCUUGUCGUCCGAUCUUGGCACCAAUUCGAGGAACGAGGAACAAAUCGACGAAGCUCGAGCGUUAAUUAAAUCGUUGCGCGUUUAAUCCACGAUGAUUUCGAGGGAAGUAGCGAAAACACUUCUGCUCGAAGGAGCCCCACUUCACGCAUCUCUCGCAAUUUAUGCGACACUUUGAAUUGUCGAAUCUUCGUCGACAUAUGUUGGCCAUGUUGGCGUUGAAUAAAUCAAUGAACGCGUUAAACGCGUAUAAAAUAGAAAAGUUAUACGUCUAAUUAUAUAACUCGUGACCUCAAAUAAUGGAAUGGAA